UGGGGUGUCGCCAAGUGGUAAGGCUCCGGACUUUGAAUCCGGCAUCGCAGGUUCGAAUCCUUCCACCCCAGCCA
RNAcentral lists this transfer RNA (74 nucleotides) under bacterium. RNAcentral's name for it is "tRNA-Gln". It matches the Rfam family "tRNA". Rfam says of the family: Transfer RNA (tRNA) molecules are approximately 80 nucleotides in length. RNAcentral also lists the same sequence under 1 other name. The record is from RNAcentral.